CUCUUUUUUGUCUCUGUCCUAAUGGUUUUUGCGUGUUCCAAAAGUUGACUUUAUUUUCAAAAAUUAUAUUUACCUUUUUAUCGAUUCGCUCUCGUUCAGGAAACAUAUCGAAUUAUUGAUGACAAUGAACAUUGAACAAUGAUCAAGGUGCGCGUAAGUUGUUUGAUUUAAUUGAUUUAUACCAAAUUUAACCGUCUGAAAGCUGCGCAAAUUGUGAAAUUAUUACCGCGAAUGUGGAUAUUUCCGGAAUGUGUAUGUUGGAAAAACUGGAACACCUCGUUUUUGUCAUGGAGAUUUCAGUUAUGUUUUUUAUUUGACACGGAAGAUAAAGCGGGGAAAACGAGAAAUUCAAACCGACAACAAUACCAGGAACGCACCUGCGCCUUUCUGCGUGACACACAGUGAGGCAAACUAUAAUUCGGGAAGUAAAAACAAUACGACAAAGUUAAACUUUUUAAAAAUUGUUUCGAAACGUAACACAUUUUUUAUUAGCCUUGCUGGCAUUUCCGUCAGCAAAGAUGGAUGUUAACCUCAACAACUGUGUAUUACAACAAUGUAUUGUGGAGGUUGUGCGGGUUUUUCAGAUGGUUUACGUGCCAAAGAAACAAAAAGGAGCUUCGUAAUAAAAGUGAAAUCAAUGCCAUACGUGCCCUGCAUUAAUGUCUCGUCCUCUGUGAAUAUUUGAAUGUAAACAAAUAACAACCGCAAGUUCAUUUUCUUCUUGUUAUGAUCGUUAUGAUGGGCGCCUGGCUUCUUGAAUUCUCUUGGCGUAUAUAGGAAGAGUCCCUAAAACCCGACUUUGGGUCGGUGGAACAAUGCCAAACUAAACUCUCUUUUACAGAUCGACUGCGUCUGCUCCCUGGCCGUUUAUGUAGUUGUUGUAGAUGGCUAUGGUACUGUGUGUACGUAGUCUGUAUGCAAUCCAAUCGUUCGUAGAUGCAUUCAAAUUUGCCAAGGAAUCUUUUGGAUGUCACUAGGUACCUACAAUUUUGUCCACUAGAUGCCGUAGUCUUCGUCGGUGACUGGGUGGGAACUGGCAGAACAAAGAACGUUUGUUACUUUCUGAGAUAUCGAGCGAAAACUUUUACUCGUUACGGACUUACGUUGUACUUUGACAUUUCCCAGCAUCAAAAUUAAAAAGAUAAUCUAGCCAAUUUCGAAUUGGGCCAAAUCAUCUGAUCACGUGGCCUGAAACUGCUGUUCAUGUUGCUGAAAUGUCCCUUGCUGUGCUACCUGAUCUGCCGUAUGUUUCAUCCAAAUCCCAAUCAGAAACACUCGACAGCAAUUAAAGUGAACAAUUGUGAGUUGAAGAAAAGUUGUAUGGAGGUGGAUCACAGUUAUUGGAGUAAAAUGUUGGAUUGGGUACAGGUACAGAAGAUGAACAAAGGGAGGAGAGUAUUCAUUAUUCCCAGUUCCAGUAAUAGGAAGAAUAGUCUCGUUGCUGUGGAUGCUGUUCCGGCGACCCCAUUCGGAUUGAAGUGGUGAUUGUGGAGGUGUAGACUCGGGACGUCGAGUAGUUGGGUUGGCACCAGCGAUGGGACAACUGUAGGAUCGAAAUAGAAUCCAGCAGGAGUCGGAAGGAUUUUAGGCGAUGAUCGAUGAUGUUGGCGAUUUGUUUCGCGAGUAGGAGGCGCAGCUCUUGAUGAUCCAAGUUGACGGGCACGUCGACGGAGAUUCUGAAACCACCACUGAUGAAUCAAGAGGAAAAAUUAAUUUCUGAGACGUUAAUUAACUGGGCGAUGUGGCGGCGACCUUCUCGAUUUGAAAACGAAUUCCUGGAGAACUCUCCGUCCAGUAGCUCAAGCUGGAACUCGUCGUAAAAGUGGCGCUGGCGAACUGAUCGGGAAGAUUUUGAAGUGGAACCAACUGCAUAAUAAUCUUAUGGAUUCAAUUAAUAUUCGGAGGUUGAGCUGUUUGAAAUUUUGAAAUUUGAAAAUUUGGAAGCAAUCCAGCCGUUCAUUCAUUCGUGGUUCGCGGAUGCUGUGAGGAA
Molecule: long non-coding RNA, 1990 nt
Filed under: Daphnia pulicaria
Lineage: Eukaryota; Metazoa; Arthropoda; Branchiopoda; Diplostraca; Daphniidae
Description: uncharacterized LOC124350237, transcript variant X1
Source: RNAcentral